This 200-nucleotide unclassified non-coding RNA is filed under the name soil metagenome. Its description in RNAcentral is "partial contains internal transcribed spacer 2 and large subunit ribosomal RNA". The record is from RNAcentral.
GCCGGUGGUGAUUUCUCCACCUGCGCCCUCCCUAAACUUGCUGCACGACCGCAAAGCCCCUUCUAGCCAGGUCAAUGGAGUGGUGUUACAAUCUUCCAAAAAGCCUGCUGGUAACCGCUUUGUGGCGUUAAACCCAGACGUCCCCUCGCAGGGACUGAAGUUUUGACCUCAGAUCAGACAAGGAUACCCGCUGAACUUAA